This 450-nucleotide ribosomal RNA is filed under the name uncultured bacterium. RNAcentral describes it as "partial 16S ribosomal RNA". It matches the Rfam family "Bacterial small subunit ribosomal RNA", at positions 29 to 523 of the family's 1533-position model. The record is from RNAcentral.
AGCGAACGCUGGCGGCAGGCUUAACACAUGCAAGUCGAGCGGGCGUAGCAAUACGUCAGCGGCAGACGGGUGAGUAACGCGUGGGAACGUACCUUUUGGUUCGGAACAACACAGGGAAACUUGUGCUAAUACCGGAUAAGCCCUUACGGGGAAGAUUUAUCGCCGAAAGAUCGGCCCGCGUCUGAUUAGCUAGUUGGUGAGGUAACGGCUCACCAAGGCGACGAUCAGUAGCUGGUCUGAGAGGAUGAUCAGCCACAUUGGGACUGAGACACGGCCCAAACUCCUACGGGAGGCAGCAGUGGGGAAUAUUGGACAAUGGGCGCAAGCCUGAUCCAGCCAUGCCGCGUGCGUGAUGAAGGCCCUAGGGUUGUAAAGCUCUUUUGUGCGGGAAGAUAAUGACGGUACCGCAAGAAUAAGCCCCGGCUAACUUCGUGCCAGCCGCCGCCGUAA